GAGGCGAUGAGGUAAUUGUAGCGAUGACCGAUGGGUCCUCGCGCGCCUCCCAGGGUCCCUGUACCUAGUUGGAGGGGACAGAACAACAGCGGGGUGCAAGUCAGGCACCUUGGAGGACUCUCUGGCUCCGAGCCAGUGAAGUAGCCCAUGGGAAGGGGAGGGGAGGACUGCCAGUGCUGAUUUCCUAGGUGCAGAGAAGCGUGCAAGAGGGCCGACUGCGUCGUCCCGAGCAGCCACUCUCACUCGGUUUGGCUUCGGCGUUCCAGGACCCAGACCACCGGGCGGCGGGGAAUGCCUCUGCUUGCAACUCUAGAAAGUUUUAAGGGUGCCCCCCAACCAACUGCACGUGCACCCUUACCUUUCCUGCCUGGAAAGUCGGUGACCUCCCUGCCCUCUUUUCUCUUCCUGCAGGUCCCGAAAUCGGCUGUGAGUGUGGAACUACCCAGCUGUAGCCCUGGUAGACUACCCGCGUACUCCUCUCGCAGCUAAUUCGGGAUCAUUAAUUUAAUCGGAAAUGAGGUGAUACACUCGGAGGAAGAAGAGGCACAUCAUGCUAAAUGGAGCUUGGUGUGGUGUUCCCCUUGCUGCAGAUAAUUCUGGAAGAGCAGUGGGUGUCUCGGCAGCAUUUGACCUCCUUCAGGUGCUUAGAACCAAGUGUCUGGAAACAUAAUCCUUCCAAGUAGCAUCCACUUUUGAAGGUUGCAACUAUCAAAUAUAUAUUACAGUAUUACAUCUUGCAUCUGCAGUGUCUUCAGAACAGCAGCAGCAACUGGGAGCUGUUGAGACAACCAGAAUGAGCAUUCCACCCCAGACCCACGGAAUCAGAGUCUCCCUUUGAACCAGCCCCUGGGUGAUUCCUAAGCACAGUGGUGUGAAGAAUGCUGUCCCUUCUACAAGGGCUCUGUCUGCAUGAAUUUGGCCACUGACACAAACCUUAAUUCUUCUAUUUAUUCAUUUUUUAUUUCCUCCCUCUUUUAUUAAUUUUUAAUGAAAAAUUGUUACAUGUUAUGCUUUGAUUAAAUCAUACUGCAUUUCAGAAGAGCUGUGAUUUAUGCACAAAUCUGCAACAUCAUCACCAAGAGAACACUCUGAGGAAUGCACUGGGCCUUGAACAGAAAGGCUUCCCUCAUGGCAGCAGAGGGAGCACAAGAGCACUUUCAUGAACCAAGUGCACAGGCGG
Long non-coding RNA from Artibeus jamaicensis (Jamaican fruit-eating bat), 1180 nucleotides. RefSeq lists it as uncharacterized. The record is from RefSeq and is a predicted model, not a curated record. The transcript is spliced from 3 exons. Lineage: Eukaryota; Metazoa; Chordata; Mammalia; Chiroptera; Phyllostomidae.